This 350-nucleotide ribosomal RNA is filed under the name uncultured Burkholderia sp. RNAcentral's name for it is "bacterial SSU rRNA". It matches the Rfam family "Bacterial small subunit ribosomal RNA", at positions 508 to 858 of the family's 1533-position model. Lineage: Bacteria; Pseudomonadati; Pseudomonadota; Betaproteobacteria; Burkholderiales; Burkholderiaceae. The record is from RNAcentral.
UCAGCAGCCGCGGUAAUACGUAGGGUGCAAGCGUUAAUCGGAAUUACUGGGCGUAAAGCGUGCGCAGGCGGUCCGCUAAGACAGAUGUGAAAUCCCCGGGCUUAACCUGGGAACUGCAUUUGUGACUGGCGGGCUAGAGUAUGGCAGAGGGGGGUAGAAUUCCACGUGUAGCAGUGAAAUGCGUAGAGAUGUGGAGGAAUACCGAUGGCGAAGGCAGCCCCCUGGGCCAAUACUGACGCUCAUGCACGAAAGCGUGGGGAGCAAACAGGAUUAGAUACCCUGGUAGUCCACGCCCUAAACGAUGUCAACUAGUUGUYGGGUAUUCAUUKCCUUAGUAACGUAGCUAACGC